Molecule: ribosomal RNA, 253 nt
Filed under: uncultured bacterium
Lineage: Bacteria
Description: partial 16S ribosomal RNA
Rfam family: Bacterial small subunit ribosomal RNA
Source: RNAcentral
GACGUAGGGGGCGAGCGUUGUCCGGAUUUAUUGGGCGUAAAGCGUGCGUAGGCGGCUGCGCAAGUCGGGUGUGAAACCCCGGGGCUCAACCCCGGAACUGCAUCCGAUACUGCGUGGCUAGGGGUAGGUAGGGGAGAUCGGAAUUCCUGGUGUAGCGGUGAAAUGCGCAGAUAUCAGGAGGAACACCGGUGGCGAAGGCGGAUCUCUGGGCCUUACCUGACGCUCAGGCACGAAAGCUAGGGGAGCGAACAGG